GCGGAUGGUUGAUCAGACAACAUACAUUUUACAGAUGAUGUAUGUCAGCUGGUCCACGGUCCCU
Ictidomys tridecemlineatus (thirteen-lined ground squirrel) is the source of this 64-nucleotide non-coding RNA. Lineage: Eukaryota; Metazoa; Chordata; Mammalia; Rodentia; Sciuridae. The record is from Rfam.